AUCCAGCCAUGCCGCGUGUGUGAAGAAGGCUUUUGGUUGUAAAGCACUUUAAGCGAGGAGGAGGCUACUUAGAUUAAUACUCUAGGAUAGUGGGCGUACUCGCAGAAUAAGCACCGGCUAACUCUGUGCCAGCAGCCGCGGUAAUACAGAGGGUGCGAGCGUUAAUCGGAUUUACUGGCGUAAAGCGUGCGUAGGCGGCUUUUUAAGUCGGAUGUGAAAUCCCUGAGCUUAACUUAGGAAUUGCAUUCGAUACUGGGAAGCUAGAGUAUGGAGAAGGUGGUAGAAUUCCAGGUGUAGCGGUGAAAUGCGUAGAGAUCUGGAGGAAUACCAUGGCGAAGGCAGCCAUCUGGCCUAAUACUUACGCUGAGGUACGAAAGCAUGGGGAGCAAACAGGAUUAGAUACCCUGGUAGUCCAUGCCGUAAACGAUGUCUACUAGCCGUUGGGCCUUUNAGGCUUUAGUGGCGCACUAACGCGAUAAGUAGACCGCC
Molecule: ribosomal RNA, 489 nt
Filed under: Acinetobacter johnsonii
Lineage: Bacteria; Pseudomonadati; Pseudomonadota; Gammaproteobacteria; Moraxellales; Moraxellaceae
Description: bacterial SSU rRNA
Rfam family: Bacterial small subunit ribosomal RNA
Source: RNAcentral